UUCCAAAUAUGUCUCUCUUGUUCCAACCUGUGUGUACCUGACUUAAGGGCAGGGAUUCUGCCUCUGGCACUUAGUGCAGUACGAUGCACAUAGUGAGAGACCAGGAAAUUCAGCAACAGAAUCACUGACAGAACAGGUCUAGAAGGAGAUCAUCACAAACUAAACAAGACUCCAGUGGCCAUGAAUAGCAGAAUGAGAAAACUGAGGCCCAGAGAGUUCAAGUAAUUGCCCAUUGUCAUCUAACUAACCUGCUUAACUGCUGCCUGAAACAUAUUCAAAGAGCUGAAAGUACAGAAGAGUUCUAGCCUAAAGCCCAACAGUAACCAUGGAGAGUUCAGCAACCAACUCAUCAGCCCUGUCAGAGUCCAUCAAAGAUGAGAUGUCUUCCAGUUGUGGUGAGGUUCAUGAUUGUCUUGAAAACCAAAACACAGCAAAAAAACAAAGACCACAGAGAGAAGUAUGGCAGCUGAGCAAGCUGUGAACUGUUCCUGUUCAGAAACCUCCUGCAGGUUAACCAGAGUUGGAGCCUAAUUCCAUCUCUUAUAAA
Long non-coding RNA from Symphalangus syndactylus (siamang), 547 nucleotides. RefSeq lists it as uncharacterized. Lineage: Eukaryota; Metazoa; Chordata; Mammalia; Primates; Hylobatidae. The record is from RefSeq and is a predicted model, not a curated record.